This 1354-nucleotide long non-coding RNA is filed under the name Felis catus (domestic cat). RNAcentral's name for it is "lncRNA (ENSFCAG00000042094.2)". Lineage: Eukaryota; Metazoa; Chordata; Mammalia; Carnivora; Felidae. The record is from RNAcentral.
GAUUUUUUUGCAAUCAGAAGAAAAUGUAUAAAUGAAUGAUAAAGAUAUGUGCCAUAAAAUUUUAAAGCUAACCAUAACCCUGAUUAAUAGAAGUAAAUUUUCUUUGUUAUUUUUCAGCAGAAAAAGAGAUAGAUGCAUUUGCUAAUCCUGAUGUACUGUUUAAAAGGAGAAAAGAAAAAGAAAGAAUGAAAAAGUGAAAGAAGAAGGAAUAUAAGGCAAAGCUCUGACAGGUUCUGAGCGUGCCCAGUAGGGAUGAUUUAACACCGCGCUGAUGACUUGCAACAGAAGAUCGUCAUGUGAAAAGGCAUUUUACAAACGUUUGAAGGCCCUGAACUAUACCAACACAUGGCUUUGCCCAGCCUCUCGGAAUUUACAAAGGGGAGGAAGAAAAUGCUUCGAAGAGCUUGGUAAAGUGCCCUCAAACUCAAUUUUUAUGUAUAUAAAAUAAAGGAUGGGCAAAUGAGGAAUUAGCAAGAAAUUCCCACUUGUAGAAGUAUCACCAAAACUGGAACAGGGUCUCAAAAAGGGUUGCAUACUUAGAUUCCCAGCACUGGCUCGAAUGUUAUCUAAUUACAGACCUUCCUCCUCUUGUGAUGGGACUAUAUCCCGAUAAACCUAUCAUAUGUUGUAAAUAUCCUAAGUCAAAAAUGCCCCUAACCUACCAAACAUCAUAGCUUAACCGAGUCUAUCUUAAAUGUGCUCAGAACACUUACUAUUAAUCUACCUCUGGGCAAAAUCAUCUAACACAAAGCCUGUUUUAUAGGAAAGCAUCGAACAGAGCAAGUAAUUUAUUGGAUACUGUACUGAAAGUGAAAACCAGAAUGGUUGCACGGUACAAAAUGGUGGUAAGUAUAUCGGUUGUUGACCUUUGAAGUCACGUGGUUGUUGACCUUUGCAGUCACGUGACUGACUGGGCGCUGCAGCUCCCACUGCCCAGCAUCAGAACAGAGGAUUCCAGAGCAUAUCGCUGGCCUGGGGAAAGGUUCAAAUUCAAAAUUGGAAAUCCUGUUUCUACUGGAUGCAUAUCAUUUUGUACCAUCAUAAAAUUGAAAAAUCCUAAGCUGAAUCACUGUAAGCCAGGGACCUUCUGUAGCUGGUAGGUUCACCUGAUGAUAAGCCAACUCCAUGGCACAUUUCCAGUGGAAAAGCAACCCCUACCCUCGUGUGUAUAGUGACAAAUAGGGAAAGUUCUUUCUACAUCCCUGACUCACUUUUCUUUUGUUCUGUGCUUUAACAGCUGAGUGUUACUGAUGGGAUAUUUGUCCUCUGAGAGGAGUACAGAAGAGUAAUAUUAACUACCUGCAACCCUCCCUCCUAUGUGGAAAUAAAAUUAAUGUUGUGACAUAAGCUGACA